RNAcentral lists this ribosomal RNA (255 nucleotides) under uncultured Pseudomonas sp. RNAcentral's name for it is "partial 16S ribosomal RNA". It matches the Rfam family "Bacterial small subunit ribosomal RNA", at positions 96 to 355 of the family's 1533-position model. The record is from RNAcentral. Lineage: Bacteria; Pseudomonadati; Pseudomonadota; Gammaproteobacteria; Pseudomonadales; Pseudomonadaceae.
CGGCGGACGGGUGAGUAAUGCCUAGGAAUCUGCCUGGUAGUGGGGGACAACGUUUCGAAAGGAACGCUAGUACCGCAUACGUCCUACGGAGAAAGCAGGGACCUUCGGGCCUUGCGCUGUCAGAUGAGCCUAGGUCGGAUUAGCUAGUUGGUGAGGUAAUGGCUCACCAAGGCGACGAUCCGUAACUGGUCUGAGAGGAUGAUCAGUCACACUGGAACUGAGACACGGUCCAGACUCCUACGGGAGGCAGCAGUC